Molecule: ribosomal RNA, 224 nt
Filed under: uncultured bacterium
Lineage: Bacteria
Description: partial 16S ribosomal RNA
Rfam family: Bacterial small subunit ribosomal RNA
Source: RNAcentral
UACGUAGGGUGCAAGCGUUGUCCGGAAUUAUUGGGCGUAAAGAGCUCGUAGGCGGUCUGUCACGUCGGCUGUGAAAACCCGAGGCUCAACCUCGGGCCUGCAGUCGAUACGGGCAAACUAGAGUACUGCAGGGGAGACUGGAAUUCCUGGUGUAGCGGUGAAAUGCGCAGAUAUCAGGAGGAACACCGGUGGCGAAGGCGGGUCUCUGGGACGGUACUGACGCU